Molecule: long non-coding RNA, 1967 nt
Organism: Anopheles gambiae (African malaria mosquito)
Lineage: Eukaryota; Metazoa; Arthropoda; Insecta; Diptera; Culicidae
Exons: 3
Source: RefSeq, a predicted model, not a curated record
CCCAAAUGUUCUAGGCAGGUGUCUAUAAGAGGCAAUGGAAAAUUAUCACGAACUGUUACUUUAUUUAAUGGUCUGUAAUCAACACAUUUUCUAACUUCGCCAUUUUUCUUUCGAACCAGGACUAAGGCAGACGCGUAUGCAAAUGACAACCGUCUUGGUUUGGUAGAAAUAGGAGUGUCAUCUUCACUUUGGUAUUUUGUAAGGUUUUUACCAAUAUCAAUGGGAUUUGUUUGAUCAACAACAUCUAUCAUACACAAAGAAGAAAAUGUAUCGGUAAACACAUCGAUCGACUCAUGAGCUAAAGCAGAAAAUGAGCAAUCUCCCUCCCGACGUGCGACUGACCUCUUUACAAUGUCAAGUGAAUGGAGCUUUUGAUAUAAAUUCGUUUUUAUUAAAGGCAGCUUUUUCAUAUUAUUCAUGUUCAAUAAAGUGUUUAUAGUGUACGUAUUUUGUAUCUGAUUGAGUUGAAUAUUUAACUUGGAUAAUGCAUCUCUACCAAGAAUCAUUGGCCAUUCCAUGUAUAUUUUUGGAAGGACGAUAAAGGUGUGACGUAUCGUGGUCUUGGCAAGUUGUACUCGCAUAUCCACAAAUCCUAACGUUAAUAAAUUUGGGCCUCCUAUUCCUCGCAACAUGGACGUCCUAGGUUCUCCAACAAGAGAUUUAGGGAGAACGUUUUCAUUAACGAAGCUUUUAGGGCUACCAGUAUCCAAAAGAGAAACUAAUUUUAGUGAUUUGCUCCAAACAUCUUGACUCUUAUAGGCAACACUUACCUCUUGGUUGGCGUUAAGAGUAAAAACUGGUUCCGUCACAGGCGUUGUUUCUAGAUGUUCAGGACCAUUUGUAGUAACGGCAAUCUGCUGAACCCGUUGAGGACAAUUUCGAUAGACAUGAUCAGUCUGACCGCACUUGAAACAGGACCCCGGAAGUCGAAUCGGCAUGCGGCAGAAGUUUUCCGAAUGUCCAUAUUUCCGGCAAUUAAGGCAUCUGGGAGUCGACUGGUUUGGUUCAGCUCGCGCAAUCUGGACUCGUGGUUGUUGAACAGACGAUUUCUGGACCGUUGUCUGUACACGUGUUCGUAUAUAUUCAUACUCUUUCAAUAGAGGUUUCAGCGUCUCGAUCGAUUUUGCCAUGAAUCGCAUGGAUGCAGUAUGUAUGGGGUCACCGAGACCGUCAAUGAUGAUAUGCACCAGUUCGUUUUCCGGAAUUGAAGCUGCCGCUGCAAUGUGUUGCAUGUCUAACAAAUAUCUAAGCGUUGUUUCGUUAGCGUUCAGAUGGCGUGCUCUAAGAUUUUUAUAGAUGACUUCUUUAGAAGGCUUGUUGUUAAAUUCUUUUAGCAAUUCGCCCUUCAACUCCUCGUAAUUUUUUGAUUUAGUAGUUUGUGCCAAUAAAACAGCUGUGCUCGUUAACGAUCGACGCAAAAGCGGCAGUUUUUGAGGCUCUGGGACGUUUGUCAUAACGAAAAUGUCCUCAAGGGAACGAAUCCAAGCACACACAUCUUCAUCGCCUUCUCCGGUGAACUUUGGCACUAUUGUUUCUAUAUAUUGAAUAGUAUUCAUCGAUAUUGGUUUAAGGUGAGUUGGUUGAAGCUCAGCUAUUUCUUCUUCUAAAGAUAAAAGUUUUUUUUUCUAGCUCCAGGCGUUUUACUUUCAUUUCGAGUGAGGCUAUAGCAGCGGCUUCGUCAUUUGAGGUUAUGUCAUCACCAUCUCCACGUGUUUUAUCAGCCGCCAUUUCCUGACUUGUUGUCUUCUUCACGUUGUCUGCAAACAAUUGUCGUAGUUGCGUCGCCUUUGCCGUCUCUGGGUAUUCAAUACCAGCUGCGUCUAAUGACCAUUUUAUUUCUUCUGUUGUAGGCAUACUUGUAGAUUAAUCCCACUUCUGAGAUGUAAACUAAGGUUUUAUUCCAAACGAGUUUUUUACGGAGCAAGGUUUUUCCGACUUGUUUAUUUGUGAUUCCGUUUUCGAAUGAC